Long non-coding RNA from Carassius auratus (goldfish), 232 nucleotides. RefSeq lists it as uncharacterized. The transcript has 3 exons. NCBI's taxonomy places the organism in Eukaryota, Metazoa, Chordata, Actinopteri, Cypriniformes, Cyprinidae. The record is from RefSeq and is a predicted model, not a curated record.
GCUCUCUGUGGUGUGAUUGCAGCAUUGUUCCCUCAAAGCCAUGCCCAGCGCUGGACGAUUUUCUCUCACCUUACAGGAGAAGAAAGAAAGUCAUGCAGAUUUGGAACAAUAAAAGAUGUUGCUGGAUGGCAGAAAAAGGGAUGAAGGAGCUGUCCAAUAAUGUGGUGCUGAAAUGCAGUUGCAGCAUGAACAUCUCUGGGUGGGCCAUCUCAUGCUGUGCUUUUUAUCAGCU